Gadus morhua (Atlantic cod) is the source of this 1837-nucleotide long non-coding RNA. The record is from Ensembl. NCBI's taxonomy places the organism in Eukaryota, Metazoa, Chordata, Actinopteri, Gadiformes, Gadidae.
ACAUAUCGUCGCUGUCCGAUGAAAACCGCGUAUGUCCAUUUUUGCCGAUUUUGAGAUUUUACGAUGAUAGUUAUGUCCAGGUUCAUUUCCGUAUACAGUAUGCGUCAUGAACCUAAUUGACCAAUGAAAAGUUGUGAAACACGUCAUCUGAUUUUCAAGUAUAUCCAUUUGGUGUCAAAGCUGUCAGUCCCGCCGCGUAUCUCCCGCCCUGUGGAGUCAUCUCAUUAGCGUCUCUGGAAGCGCAUCAUCGGGUAGCCGAAUAACACUUUGAAGGAUGUCUUUCUCUCUUAAGGAGAUGUGUGAAAUGGUCAAUGUCAGGUAUGAUAGGGUACUUGAGGCGAACGUGAGGGUCAACAAUGAGGAGGAAGAUUCAGUUGAAAGUGACGGUGCAAAUACAGCUGCCAAUGAGGAUUCUCUGGAAAGUGAUAAUGACAAUCACUCUGAAAGUGCCAGUGAUGACUCACUUGAACACGAUCCUGAAAAUGACCCGGAAUACACACCUGUCAAUGAAGAUGCUGUUGAUGUUGAUGUUGCUGUUGACCGGGGAAGGUCAAGAAAGAGGGCCAACCCAGACGCUUGGAAGGGUAACAUUCAGAAAAGGAGAAGAAUGAGGGGCCAAUCAUAUCUUGGACGAAAAAAAAAUGAAUUCAUCAACAUAGAAGAAAGAAAAAUGGAGGGGCGGUGCCUGGCUGAGGCCUGCCGGAAAUCCAGCAAACUACACUGCACCGAAAUCGAUGAAGGGAAGAGGGAAAAAAUAUUCAAGUAUUUUUGGGGGAAAUUGGACUGGAAAGAAAGGAAAAUCUAUGUGAAGUCACUGGUGGAGGUGAGUGAUGUCAAGCGGCGCCGGACAGAAGCGGUUCAGUCUCGGAGGUCAGCAUCUCUCUGUUGUUUUUUAUGUGUUGAUGGUAAAAGGCUCAGAGUUUGUCAGCGGAUGUUCCUGUCGACCCUUGGCAUCAAGCAGUGGAGUGUUCUAAAAUGGGUUGGAAGAAGAGAUGAAAGUCCUGAGAAGACGGCAAGAGUGAGGGUGAGGACAGAGGAGCGGGACUUCCUAAAGUCCUUUCUUCUUGAACUGCCGAAAGUACCAUCGCACUACUGUAGGUCCUCCUCUUCCAAGAUGUACCUGGAGCCUUUAUUCAAAUCAAUCAAUCAUCUCCACUCACAAUAUAAGCAGGCAUGUGCAGCCAACGGCAUCCAGGCUCUGUCAAGACAAGUGUUCAGUAACACCUUUAAAGAAUUAAAUCUGUCAUUGUUCCAUCCAAAAAAAGAUCAGUGUGACACUUGCUGUGCCUUCAAAGCCGGGAACAUCGAGGCUGCUGUGUGGGAGGAACACUGCGUUAAGAAGGACGAGGCACGAGCAGAAAAGGAUAGGGACAAGCAACUUGCAAAUAACACCACCUUGGUUGCAUGCAUGGAUCUGCAGGGCCUUCUCCUCUGCCCAAAGCUUCAAGCGUCUGCCCUCUAUUUCAAAAUGAAGCUGAGUGUCCAUAAUUUUACCAUCUACAAUAUGGCAUCACAUGAAGCGACAAAUUACCUUUGGCAUGAGGGUGAGGGGGGGGUCUCUGCCAAUGAGUUUGCCUCCUGCAUUGUGGACUAUCUUGAAACACACCUCACUUACACUGAAUUCAUUCUUUGGAGUGAUGGGUGUGGUUAUCAAAACCGAAACCUGGUCCUGAGCAAUGCCCUCUUAAAGUUUGCCACUGAAAGAAAAAAAAAAGCAAGUGACGCAGAAGUACCUUCAAAGAGGCCACACACAGAUGGAAUGUGACUCUGUGCACAGUGUGAUCGAAAGAAAGCUAAGGAACCGAGAUGUACAUGUUCCAGCUGAGUAUGCUGCAGU